This is an RNA transcript of Vigna angularis (adzuki bean), 2111 nucleotides long. It is a transcript of the gene named probable mannitol dehydrogenase, with no coding region annotated. The transcript has 10 exons. Lineage: Eukaryota; Viridiplantae; Streptophyta; Magnoliopsida; Fabales; Fabaceae. The record is from RefSeq and is a predicted model, not a curated record.
AUAGGGCUUCUGCUCUUGCUUUAUCUCAGAGCCGCUGUUUUAUAAACCACUGUUUUAGAUAAGCAUUAAAACAUGGAACGUUUUCACUCUCUUAGUACUCUGUCUUCUGCAAUUGAAAUGGCUUCAUCACCAGAGACAGAGCAUCCCAACAAGGCAUUUGGAUGGGCAGCCAGGGACAUUUCUGGUAUUCUCUUCCCUUUCAACUUCUCCAGAAGGGCAACAGGAGAGAAAGAUGUUGCAAUUAAAGUAAUGUACUGUGGAAUAUGUCACUCAGACUUACAUAUGUUAAAGAAUGAGUGGAGCUGUUCAAUCUAUCCUAUUGUUCCUGGACACGAGGUUGCUGGUGUGGUGACUGAAGUGGGAAGCAAGGUGAAAAAGUUCAAAGUUGGAGACAGAGUUGGUGUAGGGGGCAUGGCUGGAUCCUGUAAAUCCUGUCAGAAUUGUAGUGAAGAUCUCGAGAAUUAUUGUCCCAAAAUGAUUUUCACAUACAGUGGCAAGCAUGUUGAUGGCACCAUAACAUACGGAGGCUACUCUGACUCAAUGGUUGUAGAUGAACACUUCGUGGUUCGAAUUCCAGAUAACCUACCUCUUGAUGCUGCUGCACCUCUCCUUUGUGCUGGAAUCACAGUGUAUAGCCCUUUGAAAUAUUAUGGACUUGACAAGCCUGGACUUCAUAUCGCUGUGGUUGGUCUUGGUGGAAUCGGUCACAUGGCUGUCAAGUUUGCCAAAGCUCUUGGGCUUAAGGUUACAGUGAUUAGUACAUCUCCCAGUAAAGAGAGGGAAGCAAUUGAACAUAUGGGAGCUGACUCAUUUGUUGUUAGUCAUAAACAAGAUGAGAUGAUGGCUGUAAUGGGAACCUUUGAUGGAAUCAUUGACACAGUUUCUGCUAAUCAUUCUCUCGUGCCUUUGAUUGGCCUGUUGAAGACUAAUGGUAAAUUAGUCAUGAUUGGUUCACCGGAGAAGCCUCUGGAGGUUCCAGCAUUUGCCUUACUUACGGGAAGGAAGCUGGUUGGUGGCAGUGCAAUUGGAGGGAUGAAAGAGACGCAAGAAAUGAUCGACUUUGCUGCGAAACAUGAUGUGAAACCUGAUAUCGAAGUUAUUGAAAUGGAUUAUGUGAACACUGCAAUGGAACGCCUCCUCAAAUCAGAUGUGAAGUAUCGAUUUGUUAUUGAUAUUGGAAACACGUUGAAGCCAAGUUCCUGAAUGAAGAAUUUGCUGGCAUAUGUUUCAGCCUUCAGAGACUGAACUUAGGGUACAAUUUGUUCACAAGCUCUGGGUAAUAGUCUGGUACAUAGAACUCUGCAGCUGACCUAUCUGGUAUCCCAAUUUCCCAUAAAGUAGGACCAUUUCUUGGAGGGACCCAUGCAUACAAGGCGUACUUCCCAGGUCAAACACUUUUCAGCUGAAUGUUUCACUAGCCAUUCAAAGUUCAAGAAAUUAAAACUGAUUGACUCCUACACCAAUUGUACCUUGCUUUCUAUUUGCCAUGAUCCUGCGUCUCCAGGGAUUUGUCAGGUCUUACGGAAAGAGAAGUUGGGCCAACAUGAGAAGUGAGUUCUUGUUUAACGGGCCCAGCAUUGCGGAACUCAUUACUGGGAGUUAUCACCCAGAAACCCACUGGUGCUGAAUCAUCCUCUGCAAUCCACCCAUGAACAGAGUUAUCUUUGUUCUCUGUCGAGUAUUGAUAUUUAUCAUCAACCUAAACCCAACAAACACGUCUUCGAUUCACACACAUUAUAGGCAACAAAAAGAAAAAUAGAAAAAAUCAAUGUCAAUUCAACCAGAGGCAUAACCAAAGAAAGAAUCACCUCUCCUCGAAUUUGUGGGUCAGUUGCAUGGGUUAAGAGAACAGCUUCAGGAUAUGAAAGCACCUUGCCCGUUCUUCUGUCUUCUGCAGUUGGCAUCUUCCUUUGCCUUGUAUCAGAUAUGGCCAUGUAGUGGAACCUGCAUCAUUGGUUUGGUUGUUAAUAAGUAAUCCUGGUGGACGAGUAAAUACUGCGUAUGAAUAAAACCCAGAAUCACCUCUGCGCAAUAUAUACCUUAAGUCUAUGUUUAUGGGGACACUUGAGCCUUGCAUGGAAGCUUUCCAUGUUUUUAGAAAGGAAACCUCC